RNAcentral lists this transfer RNA (47 nucleotides) under Crocidura brunnea (thick-tailed shrew). RNAcentral describes it as "partial tRNA-Met". Lineage: Eukaryota; Metazoa; Chordata; Mammalia; Eulipotyphla; Soricidae. The record is from RNAcentral. RNAcentral also lists the same sequence under 1 other name.
UUUCGGGCCCAUACCCCGAAAAUGUCGGUUAAUACCUUCCCUUACUA